Molecule: long non-coding RNA, 1468 nt
Organism: Glossina fuscipes
Lineage: Eukaryota; Metazoa; Arthropoda; Insecta; Diptera; Glossinidae
Exons: 5
Source: RefSeq, a predicted model, not a curated record
UAUUUGUGAAUUGUGAAGAAGAAAAAAAGAAUAUAAAAAACAUAAAAUAUCGCAACUUGAUUUUAUGCUCGGUUAUUGAAGAGGAGAACAAUAACAACUCCGACGCAGAAGAGAGGAGAGAGAGCUAGAAAGACUACGCGGGACGCUUCUGACCCCCUAGCAUUAUCUCAAAAGGAAUUUAUGCAGAAGUUCCGCGUUUCUAAAGUGGCUUUUUAUUACGUUCACUGCGAGUGGUGAUACGAGGAGCACAUAUACAUCGCCAAUGUUGCGCUUAAUCGUGACUUUAAAAUCGGUGACUUCAGGUUACCAAUGCCUGGCCUGUAGCAACAAAAGCGUAGUUGUUAAAAAAAGCAAAUAAUCAAUUGUUGUAUGAAAGGUGUUCCAAAAGUUGGAAACAAAACUUUUGCAUCUAAUUGCUUCUCAGGUGAUAGUGGAUGACCCUUAGAGCCUUGGCUGAGCACAUCUUACCGCCAAAUCCCCUAAAAUAAAAUACAGUGGAAUGCAUUGCAAGGCAAAUAACAUUGGUCACUGGAGUCGCUGAUGAAUGGCUCGUUACGGCAAACCCUUUCAUGAAAAUUAUUCCGAUGCAAAAUUCUUCUUAUAAUUUCGGGAUUGCAUAUCUUCCUAAGUAAUUUUUCUGCUUCUUUUGCCAGACAUGGUCCACUUAAAUUUGAAUCAUGCUUAAUUUUUCGUACGAUUAAACGUUCAUUUGCGGGAAUUUCUUUUUGUAUUUUUUCCAUGUUUAAAAUGAUAAAUUACAAUUACGUGGAUUUCUAUUGAAGUUCGGUGAACCAUUGUAAAAAUACUUAACCGUCGCUUUCAAAUUUCAAAAGUACAUUUUAAUAUGUUUAUUACUUCAUCCCACGCAUAUUCGUGUUUCUAAAAGAAGUGCCAAAUGGCUUUUAUAAUGGUAAACCCCUGCACACGAAAUAACGUAGGUGAUCUGUCUUUUAAUUUUAUUUUUUGCAAAUUAUUUUCUAUUCAUUUCAUUUUGGAUACUUGUUAUUGUUUACCAUAUAUAGUUUGUUUCUCUUUUUCGCUGCAAUCUUCAUUCUUAAAACUUCCUAGGGUAUUUUGAUUAGGUCUUCGCAUGUUAUUAAUGACUAAAGAAAAUUUCUUUUGUCAAAAAUGUAAUUAUCGACUUUCUUCUGUGGGGCUAAAAAUAUAUUUUAAUUAAAAGGGAGAAGAAAACCAACAAAGCUUUAAGAAAAAAAACUAAAAAGCUAAGAAAAGGUAAUUAAUAUACAAAAAUUCAAACAUAUUUUUUCAUGCGAAAUUUAAGUCAUAAUUAAGUACUACACUGACUUUUUUAUUCCCAAUUAAGAGCUUUGACGGCCCAGAUGUAGUUUUGUUAGCGAGUUAGUUAUGAAGAGAUCUCUACCGCUGCUGGUUAUAUAAAAACAAAAGAAAAUCUUAUAUAAAAUUCUUAAUUGUUUUAUCAAACUUCCAAACUCUGUUUGAAAUUUUU